UCGUGGCUUCUCUAUUAGCUGCUUCCUGCUUGCUCCGAUCUGAUUGGCCGUCGUUGCCAUCACUCAUACCUGAGGUUAUGUCAGAGGAGUAGCUGGAAACAUAAAACACACAUUAUAAAAAACUUUUACUGAAACAAAGGUGAAGAGAAGCCACAGGGUGAAUCAGUGGGAGGUAUCUCUGCCCUUUGACAAACAGCAAUGCUCUGCAGGACACAGUUAAAUGUCAGGACUCACUGAGCAACACUAGAGGGCAACAGAGAUGCUUCUCUUAUCUCAGGAACUCAGGCUGCACCUGUGUUACCACCUGGGCUGAAUGAGACUCAUGCAGGAGAAUCUUCUUCCCUGCUUGUGUCCUGCCCCCUUCCUGCUGACCUUUGGGAAGCGCAACAUGGG
Molecule: long non-coding RNA, 393 nt
Organism: Girardinichthys multiradiatus
Lineage: Eukaryota; Metazoa; Chordata; Actinopteri; Cyprinodontiformes; Goodeidae
Exons: 3
Source: RefSeq, a predicted model, not a curated record